UUAUAUUACCAUCUUGUGUAGUAGUGCGCAAACGACGUCAUUGCAAUGUUUCCCUAGUCAGUCAGUAUGACAAACCGCGACCCACGAACUACUCACAAGUCACAACUCAUUCUCCUUUGUUACUUUCACGGAGUGUUUAUAUCGUGAAGGUUACAGUGUUUUAACAUAUAAAAAUAAAUAAAGUGUAGAAGUCGGUCAGUGAGCAGUGCUGCAAGAUGGGUUUAUGUCUGUCGUUCGACUGCGGAGACGCAGAGUUUUGCUGCAACCCUUGUUGCUUGGCGUUGAGCGCUUGUUGCCUGGUGCCCUGCCUGUGUCCGAACGCGUGCGGGCAGCAGCAGCAGCCGACACAUACCGUGGAUGUGGUGCAUCACCAGCCUGUCAUAAUCCAAGACCAGAGCUAUCCUCCACCGCACGGCUACCCGCCACCGCCUGGGGCCUACCCACCCCCCGGAGCCUACCCACCUCCCGGCGCGUACCCCUACCCCCCACCCAACGAAGGAUACCCCUACCCACAACCUAUGGCCAGAUGAAAAGCUUAUAGUUAAGGAUGGGUUGCAAUAUAUCGUGUCGUCCCUGCUGCUGCUGUUGCAUCCCUGGCUGCUGCUGCGAUUGCUGCAGCUCGCCUCCACCACCCCGGCCUGUCGUGACCCACGUCACCCACCAAGUCGUAGUACAGGCCCCUCCAUCUAACAUGGCCCGAUCUGGAGCACCACCUCCCUAUUCAUAAUAUAGAAAUUUAUGCAUCAAACCGAUAAAUGAUUAGGUAAAAAAUCGCGCAAUCAAUCAGAUCAAUUUUUAAAAUGCAUUUUUCGGCAUUUCCCUUCUACUUUCAACUACAAGCUCCUGCUUCCGAAUAAUAAGUCACCACAAGUACAAAAACGCAUUUGAACGAAUUAUUUUUACUUAAAACUUUUGUGAAGUGAUUUUUUAUAUGAAUUCAGACGAUUUAAUUUUGGCUUUCCCGAAAAACGUGCGUAACAUUUCUCGGGAAAGCCCUUUUACUUUCUUAGUUCUUAAUCAUGUAGUUGUUAUCAAAGUAAACGCGUGACUAAACCGUUAGUAAACAUUUUGGUUGUACUUUUAAUCUUAGGAUAUGAGUCAUACCAUGAUUAAUUCUCAAUUAGCGGCUAAUGUGGGGGUGAGUCAUGGUAUUGCUUUAACUUAUCGCAAUGAAUUGAUGUAGCAGGUGGGUUUUUUUUUACAUAAAAAAAUCAUAACUUGUUACUGCUGUAAUAUAUCAGUCGUAUAUAGAACGUCACGACACGAGUGACGAGUUAUAUUGUCAUCGCCUUCGAAAAGUGAAAUGUAGAGACAAACAUACAUUUGAGAUCAUCACAUGUCUGUGUCGUUCCUCAUACGGCUAUAAAUGUUGUAUAAAAUGUUCAAGUUUUAUUGUAUUAAUUUUAAGAAAGUUUGUUAAUGACCAUGUCACCACUUAUUGUUAAUGUCAUUAUUAUAUUGUUUUAUAUA
This is a long non-coding RNA of Trichoplusia ni (cabbage looper), 1470 nucleotides long. RefSeq lists it as uncharacterized. The record is from RefSeq and is a predicted model, not a curated record. The transcript is spliced from 4 exons. NCBI's taxonomy places the organism in Eukaryota, Metazoa, Arthropoda, Insecta, Lepidoptera, Noctuidae.